AUAACGGCUAGUUGUGCAGAAAUGCUUUUUGGACUCCCAACGGCUAUAAACGGCUAGUUUCUUCAAUCCAACGGUCAGGAAAGGACUAUUUGGAGGUUGGAGAAGUAUUUAAGAGGGAGUAUUCAUCAGAGGAAGCAAGCUUUUGGGAAAAUACAUCAAGUGCAUUCAAGAGAGAACCCUAGCAAGGCAAGCUUCAUCCAAGU
This 203-nucleotide long non-coding RNA is filed under the name Phoenix dactylifera (date palm). RNAcentral's name for it is "long non-coding RNA (PDAC_LNC019768)". Lineage: Eukaryota; Viridiplantae; Streptophyta; Magnoliopsida; Arecales; Arecaceae. The record is from RNAcentral.